Pyronema domesticum is the source of this 83-nucleotide non-coding RNA. Lineage: Eukaryota; Fungi; Ascomycota; Pezizomycetes; Pezizales; Pyronemataceae. The record is from the annotation of a GenBank genome assembly.
GGUUGCAUGGUGUAGUGGUUAUCACGUUCGCUUUACAGUUUCUUGAACGCGAAAGGUCGCCAGUUCAAACCUGGCUGCAAUCA